UACGGAGGGCGCAAGCGUUGUUCGGAAUUACUGGGCGUAAAGCGCGUGUAGGUGGCCUGGCCAGUCGGGUGUGAAAUCCCGGAGCUCAACUCCGGAACUGCAUCCGAUACUGCCAAGCUCGAGUCUCGGAGAGGAUGGCGGAAUUUCCGGUGUAGAGGUGAAAUUCGUAGAUAUCGGAAGGAACACCAGUGGCGAAGGCGGCCGGCUGGACGAUGACUGACAAUGAGACGCGAAAGCGUGGGGAGCAAACAGG
Molecule: ribosomal RNA, 253 nt
Filed under: uncultured bacterium
Lineage: Bacteria
Description: partial 16S ribosomal RNA
Rfam family: Bacterial small subunit ribosomal RNA
Source: RNAcentral